RNAcentral lists this ribosomal RNA (460 nucleotides) under uncultured bacterium. Its description in RNAcentral is "partial 16S ribosomal RNA". It matches the Rfam family "Bacterial small subunit ribosomal RNA", at positions 338 to 795 of the family's 1533-position model. The record is from RNAcentral.
CCUACGGGCGGCAGCAGUGAGGAAUAUUGGUCAAUGGGCGCUAGCCUGAACCAGCCAAGUAGCGUGAAGGAUGACUGCCCUAUGGGUUGUAAACUUCUUUUAUAUGGGAAUAAAGUGCAGUAUGUAUACUGCUUUGCAUGUACCUUAUGAAUAAGGAUCGGCUAAUUCCGUGCCAGCAGCCGCGGUAAUACGGAGGAUUCGAGGGUUAUCCGGAUUUAUUGGGUUUAAAGGGAGCGUAGGCGGGUUGUUAAGUCAGUUGUGAAAGUUUUCGGCUCAACCGUAAAAUUGCAGUUGAUACUGGCAGCCUUGAGUACAGUAGAGGUAGGCGGAAUUCGUGGUGUAGCGGUGAAAUGCUUAGAUAUCACGAAGAACUCCGAUUGCGAAGGCAGCCUGCUGGACUGUAACUGACGCUGAUGCUCGAAAGUGUGGGUAUCAAACAGGAUUAGAUACCCCUGUAGUC